This 580-nucleotide ribosomal RNA is filed under the name uncultured rumen bacterium. RNAcentral's name for it is "bacterial SSU rRNA". It matches the Rfam family "Bacterial small subunit ribosomal RNA", at positions 168 to 767 of the family's 1533-position model. The record is from RNAcentral.
ACCGCAUAAGCGCACAGUGUCGCAUGACACAGUGUGAAAAGUUUUUCGGUACAAGAUGGACCCGCGUCUGAUUAGCUAGUUGGUGAGGUAACGGCUCACCAAGGCGACGAUCAGUAGCCGACCUGAGAGGGUGACCGGCCACAUUGGGACUGAGACACGGCCCAAACUCCUACGGGAGGCAGCAGUGGGGAAUAUUGCACAAUGGGCGAAAGCCUGAUGCAGCGACGCCGCGUGAGCGAAGAAGUAUUUCGGUAUGUAAAGCUCUAUCAGCAGGGAAGAUAAUGACGGUACCUGACUAAGAAGCACCGGCUAAAUACGUGCCAGCAGCCGCGGUAAUACGUAUGGUGCAAGCGUUAUCCGGAUUUACUGGGUGUAAAGGGAGCGUAGGCGGUUUUACAAGUCUGAUGUGAAAGCCCGGGGCUCAACUCCGGUAUUGCAUUGGAAACUGUAGAACUAGAGUGUCGGAGGGGUAAGUGGAAUUCCUAGUGUAGCGGUGAAAUGCGUAGAUAUUAGGAGGAACACCAGUGGCGAAGGCGGCUUACUGGACGAUUACUGACGCUGAGGCUCGAAAGCGUGGGGA